This 163-nucleotide ribosomal RNA is filed under the name uncultured bacterium. Its description in RNAcentral is "partial 16S rRNA". It matches the Rfam family "Bacterial small subunit ribosomal RNA", at positions 355 to 511 of the family's 1533-position model. The record is from RNAcentral.
UGGGGAAUCUUCCACAAUGGGCGAAAGCCNAUGGAGCAACGCCGCGUGUGUGAUGAAGGGUUUCGGCUCGUAAAACACUGCUGUAAGAGAAGAAUGACAUUGAGAGUAACUGUUCAAUGUGUGACGGUAUCUUACCAGAAAGGAACGGCUAAAUACGUGCUAG